AGCCGUACUGGAAAGUGUGGCUGGA
This 25-nucleotide ribosomal RNA is filed under the name uncultured Borrelia sp. RNAcentral's name for it is "partial 16S ribosomal RNA". Lineage: Bacteria; Pseudomonadati; Spirochaetota; Spirochaetia; Spirochaetales; Borreliaceae. The record is from RNAcentral.